This 352-nucleotide ribosomal RNA is filed under the name uncultured bacterium. RNAcentral describes it as "partial 16S ribosomal RNA". It matches the Rfam family "Bacterial small subunit ribosomal RNA", at positions 338 to 682 of the family's 1533-position model. The record is from RNAcentral.
CCUACGGGAGGCAGCAGUAGGGAAUCUUCCACAAUGGGCGAAAGCCUGAUGGAGCAACGCCGCGUGGGUGAAGAAGGUCUUCGGAUCGUAAAACCCUGUUGUUAGAGAAGAAAGUGCGAGAGAGUAACUGUUCACGUUUCGACGGUAUCUAACCAGAAAGCCACGGCUAACGACGUGCCAGCAGCCGCGGUAAUACGUAGGUGGCAAGCGUUAUCCGGAUUUAUUGGGCGUAAAGGGAACGCAGGCGGUCUUUUAAGUCUGAUGUGACAGCCUUCGGCUUAACCGGAGUAGUGCAUUGGAAACUGGGAGCCUUGAGUGCAGCUGCGUAUAGUGGACCUCCAUGUGUAGCGGU